CAGAUUUGCUACUACUCCCUGUUAGGAGUAUAAAUAAUUGUGCAUCCAAGUGAGUGAGGAGUGAGGACCAAGCAGCAAACUAUAGUAGUGAGGGUGAGGGAUAUGUGGAGCCUGCUCUUCUCUCAUGUGCCACUGAUAGCGCGCGGCUAGGUUAUUACCAAUAUCUCUCUGCUGGGAUAGUGGGAUCUGAAUAACUUUAUAGCCUCAGCUCGAUCAAGAGCAGAUCUCUGAUCCCAAGCUGCCCAACAUCAUGGUGAACGAUGAUCCUCUGGAUGAUGAAAACCCUAGAUCUCACACUGCCAAUAGCAUCCAUGAUAACAAGAGGGAACAAAUGUUGAGCCGGUUUCCAUCCCAUGAUCAGUGCAUGAAAACAACGGUUUUUGACUUCGUCGUCCAGACCGACAAAACCAGCUCCGAAUCUUCACGUCGACCCCGAUUUCAAGGACAAGCUAGCGUGGUCGCUCCCGCAUAGCCUAUGAACCGGUGCUAUCCCGAUUGAGCUUUCCAUACCUCUCCUCUGCAGCCUUGGUUGGCUCAUACAUCCGUUUUUUCUGGUUUCUCAUGCCAGAACUAGCAUUCUUGACCUUGUAAGGCCUCUUCUUGACCUUGUAAGGCCCUGCCCCUGCACUUGGCUCCUCCUCACACCUCUUGCUCGCUUCUUUCUUUCCGUGCGGGGAAUCAGUCUAACCGUUACCGUGUUCGCCGGGGUCCCGCAACCACCUAUUUCCUGCUCCCUUCUAUCCCUCCUGAGCUAGCUUAUCCCAUGCAUGUAACCACACAUGUUUGAUUUAUAUAAAGUGUUGGGGUAGGUUAAUCUACUUUAUUUGUAAAAAGAGUGGUAAUCAUGUUUGAUUUAUACUCC
This is a long non-coding RNA of Panicum virgatum (switchgrass), 862 nucleotides long. RefSeq lists it as uncharacterized. NCBI's taxonomy places the organism in Eukaryota, Viridiplantae, Streptophyta, Magnoliopsida, Poales, Poaceae. The record is from RefSeq and is a predicted model, not a curated record. The transcript has 3 exons.